Molecule: long non-coding RNA, 552 nt
Organism: Telopea speciosissima
Lineage: Eukaryota; Viridiplantae; Streptophyta; Magnoliopsida; Proteales; Proteaceae
Exons: 3
Source: RefSeq, a predicted model, not a curated record
GUGCAGACAAGAGGUUCUAUUGCUGGGUAAUGAGGUUGCAUUCAAUGAGGCUAUAAUAGAGGAGAGGGAGCAGGGAAUUAAAGAUAUACAACAAGAAAUUGGACAAGCAAAUGAAAUAUUUCGGGACCUUGCUGUUCUAGUUCAUGAGCAAGUAGUGGUGAUAGAUGACAUUCAAUCAAACAUUGAAGCUUCAUCUACUGCAACAAUGCAAGGUAAAGUGCAACUUUCGAAGGCUCACAAGAAUGUCAAAUCUAGAUCAUCAUGGUGUUGGUGGGUACUGGUGAUUUUCGUAUUAGUGGUGGUCAUUCUCCUCCUUUUCCUUAUCAUAUAAAGUGUAGUACUCUUUGGCCUUCCAAGGGCGACGGUGUGGUUGUGGGUGUGAUGCAAGCAGUGAAUUAACUUAUUCUAUGUAUAGUGUGCAGUGUUAACAACAUUUAAAGUUUUGCCUUUGUUUAUUAUCAAGGAUUUUAUCUCAAAUUUCUUUCAUUCUCUCUUUUUCUGAAUUUAUUCUUUUUUGUACUACAUUCUACUGGUAAAUGAACCUGAAUGCAU